ACUUUAUCAGACUUUCUCCUCUCUUUCUCUCUCUUUCUCUCAGAUCUAGAUCAGAAGCGUUUGAACCACCGGUGGAGGAAACUAGGGUUUCGUUGUCCGUGAUGAAAGAUAUCUGGAGUGCUGAUGGUUUGAGAUGAAAUCAGAUGAUGAACAACCUGAGAUGUAGAACAAACAUCAAUGAAAUUGAAAACACACAGGGUUGAACACCGAUUUGAAGAAACCCUAACUGAAGGUUUCGUCCGGUCAUCUUUGUUGUGGUUUCUUUCGGCUUUCUUCCACAUCAACUAUUAGCAAACACAAAGGGUUUUUUUUGCUGUGACAUAUGAGACGGGUAUUGGGAUCCUCAAUCGAUAAGAUUAACAAUUCGUGCAUUCUUUUUUUGUUGGAGCUCUUGGAGAUCGAUGAAGGGUUUAAUUGUUUCUAAGUGUUUGCUUUCUGUUAAAGUUUUUACAUUGUCCCCUUACAUGGAGACCAAUGAAGGGUUUAUUUGAUUUUUCUAAAGUUGCAGAUCAGUUGGAUCCAAUUACUGCUCUGGUGUUCUCAUGGCAAAAGAUAUAAUUUGAAUUGUGGCCUGCUUUACUUGAUGAAGUUCAAGCACGAUUUGACACUGAUGUUUGCCAGGUACUGAAGAUAUUAAUAGGUGAUGGAGUGAUAUCUUGUGCGGGGAUUCAAUGAGAAUUUGGGGCUGUGAGUAGGCCUGGAUCAAGAUUGGGGAGAGAAAACGAAACCAAAACCCUAAUCCAUUGCUGAUUGUUUCUCCCCAUGGUAACUCUGCGUCGUUGCUGAUGGUUCUUGCUUUUCCGUCUAUGCCACCUCACUACUGCAAACUGAGUCCCAUACCCACCAGCCCUAUGACCAUUGGAGCUCAAGACAGCUUGCAGCAGCUGCGAGCCAAACUUAUUGCAGCAAGGCAUACUAAGAAUCAGAGGACGAGAAAGGAGAAAGAGGCAUAGGCGCAGGAGAGAGUAUACCUUUGGUCUUUGCCUAUUCCGUUGACUAUUGCUUUUGUUAGAACCGAAAUAUACAUUAUGCUCUUCAAGAACACUAAUUAGGGGUCAUGUGUAAUUAUAGGAUCAACCAACAUGACAAGAUUGGGUCGUUUGAAAUCAAUUUGAAACUAAGUUUUUUU
RNAcentral lists this long non-coding RNA (1129 nucleotides) under Helianthus annuus (common sunflower). Lineage: Eukaryota; Viridiplantae; Streptophyta; Magnoliopsida; Asterales; Asteraceae. The record is from RNAcentral.